RNAcentral lists this unclassified non-coding RNA (329 nucleotides) under soil metagenome. RNAcentral's name for it is "partial contains 5.8S ribosomal RNA, internal transcribed spacer 2, and large subunit ribosomal RNA". The stretch from base 1 to 120 matches the Rfam family "5.8S ribosomal RNA", at positions 35 to 154 of the family's 154-position model. The record is from RNAcentral.
GAUGAAGAACGUAGCGAAAUGCGAUAAGUAAUGCGAAUUGCAGAAUUCAGUGAGUCAUCGAAUCUUUGAACGCACAUUGCGCCCCUUGGCAUUCCGAGGGGCAUGCCUGUUCGAGCGUCAUUUCACCACUCAAGCCUGGCUUGGUGUUGGGCGACGUCCUCUUUGGGGACGCGCCUCGAAACGCUCGGCGGCGUGGCACCGGCUUUAAGCGUAGCAGAAUCUUUCGCUUUGGAAGUCGGGGCCCCGUCUGCCGGAAGACCUGCUCGCAAGGUUGACCUCGGAUCAGGCAGGGAUACCCGCUGAACUUAAGCAUAUCAAUAAGCGGAGGA